UCAAAAACAUGUCUAUUUGGAGGUAUAAAUAGUCUGGCCUGCUCACUGAUAUUUAUAUAUUAAAGAGCCGCGGUAUCUUGACCGUGCAAAGGUAGCAUAAUCAUUAGCUUCUUAAUUAGGAGCUGGUAUGAAUGGUUUAACAAAAGAAAAGCUGUCUCUAUUAUAUAAUUGGAAAUUAACUUUUAAGUGAGAAGGCUUAAAUUUUUCAGGGGGACGAUAAGACCCUAUAAAGCUUUAUAAGUCGAUUGAGCUCGAUUGAAUUUUAAGAUAAAAAUCUUGCACGAUUAUUCUUAUUUUGUUGGGGCGACCUAGGUAUAAUUUAUAUUAACUGCUUAAUGAGAAGACAAUGAUGAGUGAUUUACUUUAAUGAUCCUUUUUAAAGAUUAAAAGAUUAAGUUACUUUAGGGAUAACAGCGUUAUUUCUUUUGAGAGUUCAUAUCGAAAAAGAAGUUUGCGACCUCGAUGUUGAAUUAAAAUAUCUUUACAGUGCAGCAGCUGUAAAAGAAGGUCUGUUCGACCUUUAAAUUUUUACGUGAUCUGAGUUCAGACCGGA
Molecule: ribosomal RNA, 553 nt
Filed under: Pilumnoides perlatus
Lineage: Eukaryota; Metazoa; Arthropoda; Malacostraca; Decapoda; Pilumnoididae
Description: partial 16S ribosomal RNA
Rfam family: Bacterial large subunit ribosomal RNA
Source: RNAcentral